GUGGGGAAUAUUGGACAAUGGGCGAAAGCCUGAUCCAGCCAUGACGCGUGUGUGAAGAAGGUCUUCGGAUUGUAAAGCACUUUAAGUUGGGAGGAAGGGUAGUAACCUAAUACGUUGCUACUUUGACGUUACCGACAGAAUAAGCACCGGCUAACUUCGUGCCAGCAGUCGCGGUAAUACGAAGGGUGCAAGCGUUAAUCGGAAUUACUGGGCGUAAAGCGCGCGUAGGUGGUUCAGUAAGUUGGAAGUGAAAUCCCCGGGCUCAACCUGGGAACUGCUUUCAAAACUGCUGAGCUAGAGUACGGUAGAGGGUGGUGGAAUUUCCUGUGUAGCGGUGAAAUGCGUAGAUAUAGGAAGGAACACCAGUGGCGAAGGCGACCACCUGGACUGAUACUGACACUGAGGUGCGAAAGCGUGGGGAGCAAACAGGAUUAGAUACCCUAGUAGUCC
This 450-nucleotide ribosomal RNA is filed under the name uncultured bacterium. Its description in RNAcentral is "partial 16S ribosomal RNA". It matches the Rfam family "Bacterial small subunit ribosomal RNA", at positions 354 to 796 of the family's 1533-position model. The record is from RNAcentral.